RNAcentral lists this ribosomal RNA (821 nucleotides) under uncultured archaeon. RNAcentral describes it as "bacterial SSU rRNA". It matches the Rfam family "Archaeal small subunit ribosomal RNA", at positions 72 to 893 of the family's 1478-position model. The record is from RNAcentral.
GAAUGCAAGGCAGACGGCUCAGUAACGCGUAGUCAACCUAACCUAUGGACGGGAAUAACCUCGGGAAACUGAGAAUAAUGCCCGAUAGAACACUAUGCCUGGAAUGGUUUGUGUUCCAAAUGAUUUAUCGCCGUAGGAUGGGACUGCGGCCUAUCAGUUUGUUGGUGAGGUAAUGGCCCACCAAGACUAUUACAGGUACGGGCUCUGAGAGGAGUAGCCCGGAGAUGGGUACUGAGACACGGACCCAGGCCCUAUGGGGCGCAGCAGGCGAGAAAACUUUGCAAUGUGCGAAAGCACGACAAGGUUAAUCCGAGUGGUUCCUGCUAAAGGAACCUUUUGUCGGUCCUAGAAACACCGAUGAAUAAGGGGUGGGCAAGUUCUGGUGUCAGCCGCCGCGGUAAAACCAGCACCUCAAGUGGUCAGGAUGAUUAUUGGGCCUAAAGCAUCCGUAGCCGGCGCUAUAAGUUUUCGGUUAAAUCUGUACGCUCAACGUACAGGCUGCCGGGAAUACUGCAGCGCUAGGGAGUGAGAGAGGUAGACGGUACUCGGUAGGAAGAGGUAAAAUUCUUUGAUCUAUUGAUGACCACCUGUGGCGAAGGCGGUCUACCAGAACACGUCCGACGGUGAGGGAUGAAAGCUGGGGGAGCAAACCGGAUUAGAUACCCGGGUAGUCCCAGCUGUAAACUAUGCAAACUCAGUGAUGCGUUGACUUUUACUUUAAUGCANNGNUGCAGGGAAGUCGUUAAGUUUGCCGCCUGGGAAGUACNUACNCAAGUAUGAAACUUAAAGGAAUUGNCGGGGGAGCNCCACAAGGGNGUGAG